GGUGGGGUGACAGAGCGGUUUAAUGUGCUGGUCCUGAAAACCAGAAUGCUUGAAAGGGCAUCGCGAGUUCGAAUCUCGCCCCCACCGCCA
RNAcentral lists this transfer RNA (90 nucleotides) under Candidatus Brennerbacteria bacterium RIFOXYB1_FULL_41_13. RNAcentral's name for it is "tRNA-Ser". It matches the Rfam family "tRNA". From Rfam's summary of the family: Transfer RNA (tRNA) molecules are approximately 80 nucleotides in length. The record is from RNAcentral. RNAcentral also lists the same sequence under 1 other name. Lineage: Bacteria; Candidatus Brenneribacteriota.